AACGAACGCUGGCGGCAUGCCUAACACAUGCAAGUCGAACGAGACCUUCGGGUCUAGUGGCGCACGGGUGCGUAACGCGUGGGAACCUGCCCUUAGGUUCGGAAUAACUCCCCGAAAGGGGUGCUAAUACCGGAUAAUGUCUUCGGACCAAAGAUUUAUCGCCUUUGGAUGUGCCCGCGUUGGAUUAGCUAGUUGGUAGGGUAAAAGCCUACCAAGGCGACGAUCCAUAGCUGGUCUGAGAGGAUGAUCAGCCACACUGGGACUGAGACACGGCCCAGACUCCUACGCGAGGCAGCAGUGGGGAAUAUUGGACAAUGGGCGAAAUCAUGAUCCAGCAAGGCCGCGUGAGUGAUGAAGGCCUUAGGGUUGUAAAGCUCUUUUACCCGGGAUGAUAAUGACAGUACCGGGAGAAUAAGCUCCGGCUAACUCCGUG
RNAcentral lists this ribosomal RNA (433 nucleotides) under uncultured bacterium. RNAcentral describes it as "partial 16S ribosomal RNA". It matches the Rfam family "Bacterial small subunit ribosomal RNA", at positions 29 to 507 of the family's 1533-position model. The record is from RNAcentral.